GACGAACGCUGGCGGCGUGCUUAACACAUGCAAGUCGAACGGUAAGGCCCUUCGGGGUACACGAGUGGCGAACGGGUGAGUAACACGUGGGUGAUCUGCCCUGCACUUCGGGAUAAGCCUGGGAAACUGGGUCUAAUACCGGAUAGGACCACUGCCUGCAUGGGUGGUGGUGGAAAGCUUUUGCGGUGUGGGAUGGGCCCGCGGCCUAUCAGCUUGUUGGUGGGGUGAGGGCCUACCAAGGCGACGACGGGUAGCCGGCCUGAGAGGGUGACCGGACAGACUGGGGCUGAGAUACGGCCCAGACUCCUACGGGAGGCAGCAGGGGGGAAUAUUGCACAAUGGGCGCAAGCCUGAUGCAGCGACGCCGCGGGAGGGAUGACGGCCUGCGGGUUGUAAACCUCUUUCAGCACCGACGAAGCGCAAGUGACGGUAGGUGCAGAAGAAGGACCGGCCAACUACGUGCCAGCCGCCGCCGUAA
This 478-nucleotide ribosomal RNA is filed under the name uncultured bacterium. RNAcentral describes it as "partial 16S ribosomal RNA". It matches the Rfam family "Bacterial small subunit ribosomal RNA", at positions 28 to 523 of the family's 1533-position model. The record is from RNAcentral.